This 460-nucleotide ribosomal RNA is filed under the name uncultured bacterium. RNAcentral's name for it is "partial 16S ribosomal RNA". It matches the Rfam family "Bacterial small subunit ribosomal RNA", at positions 338 to 795 of the family's 1533-position model. The record is from RNAcentral.
CCUACGGGUGGCAGCAGUGAGGAAUAUUGGUCAAUGGGCGUAAGCCUGAACCAGCCAAGUCGCGUGAGGGAUGAAGGUUCUAUGGAUCGUAAACCUCUUUUAUAAGGGAAUAAAGUGUGGGACGUGUCCUAUUUUGUAUGUACCUUAUGAAUAAGGAUCGGCUAACUCCGUGCCAGCCGCCGCGGUAAUACGGAGGAUCCGAGCGUUAUCCGGAUUUAUUGGGUUUAAAGGGUGCGUAGGCGGCCUUUUAAGUCAGCGGUGAAAGUCUGUGGCUUAACCAUAGAAUUGCCGUUGAAACUGGGGGGCUUGAGUAUGUUUGAGGCAGGCAGAAUGCGAGGUGUAGCGGUGAAAUGCUUAGAGAUCACGCGGAACACCGAUUGCGAAGGCAGCCCGCCAAGCCAUGACUGACGCUGAUGCACGAAAGCGUGGGGAUCAAACAGGAUUAGAUACCCGGGUAGUC